CUUUAGACGGGAUUGAAGUGGUAUCCUUUUUUGUUUAGGUUUUUUCGGUUUUAAUUCACACUUUAACAAAAAAAAAUUAACGUAAAGCCCGACUAGCC
Molecule: small RNA, 98 nt
Filed under: Pedobacter rhizosphaerae
Lineage: Bacteria; Pseudomonadati; Bacteroidota; Sphingobacteriia; Sphingobacteriales; Sphingobacteriaceae
Description: Pedobacter rhizospharae Flavo-1 RNA
Rfam family: Flavo-1 RNA
Source: Rfam by way of RNAcentral